UGUUGUGAUUCACUGUGUGGGUGCUAGGAAUUGAACUCAGGACCUCUGAAAGAGCAGCCAGUGCUCUUGACCACUGAGCCAUCUCUCCAGCCCCAAUAAUAAGAUGUAUUAACUAACUAAGGAGAAGUGAUAGCUGAGUGUGGUUGCAAAUGAAACCCUGUCCCCUUCUCUCUUUUCCCUUCUGUCUCUUAAGGGAGAAACCCUUUGUGUACGAAUGCUGACCCUGGUUUCAGUGGUAUUCAUAAGUACCUUGCACUGUGUAAGCUCUUUUAACUGUUAUAACCCUCUCAAGAAGAUAAACACCCAAGAAACUGAGUGAUUUCCUCAAGGUGUCACAGCCCAAACCUCUGGGCCUGAAGUUUCUCCCUCUGCCUGUGUCAUAUUCUGGCUUAUGGACUAGCAAGGAUGUUUCUGUCCAUCAGUCAAGUCCGGAUCCAGUGAGUCUAACCUUAAGUGAGUGGGCCCAUGUUCCUGGAUCAGAGAUCCCUCAGAUCAUAUACAUACAUAUAUACAUACACACAUACACAUAUAUACAUACAUAUACACAUAUAUAAACAUACAUACACACAUACAAGUACACAUAAACAUGCACAUACACACAUACGUACAUACAUACACAUAAACAUACACAUACACACAUACAUACAUACAUACACACACAUACAUACACACAUACACAUUUUACUUUCUAGGAAAUUCACACACUCCCUUCAAGCUGUUGUUUAAUCCUAACUACAGGCAACUCAUCAGUUAGGAACACUUCUAGGAUGGAUGCUGAAACCCGGGAAUAGUCUUCAGUGUAGAACCAAGAGACCAGCCAUGGAGCUCUGAAAGGGCUCAUUCACUGGAAAGAAAAACACCCUGCACUGCUUCAUCUAAGAACACAACACAGCCAGCUCGUGAGCCCUUGUUUUUGGAUUGAUCUAAUCCCCUAGCCUCUCUCCCACACCCAGUGAACUGUGGAGAAAGACUUGUAAUUCUGCCGCUUUCUGCCAAUGCACAUUUAUGGUUCCCAGGCCCAGCAGUCUUUAUGCUGCUUGGCAGCUAGCUCUUCCUUGGACCAGAGAAAGCACACACCCAGUUCCCACCUCAGCCAGCUCAAAGCCCUUCUAAACGACUAACUGAGCUUUAAAGUUUCCAUGUCAUUGAAGAGGCACCAAUGCACAGACUUUAGUUCCCACCCUCAGUACUUUUUAUCAUGUUCCCUUCCCCCACCUGCUUUUUUGCUUGUUUGUUUGUUUGUUUGUUUAGAGAAGGUCUCAUGUAGCCCAGUCUGGUUUCAAAGAUGCCCUGUAGAUGAGGCUACGAUCCUCCUUGAACUGCGGAUCCUCCUUGCCUUUGUUUCCUGAGUCCUGGGAUUACUGUCUUGUGCCAACACACCUGCUUGGUUUCAUUCUUUUGUUUUUGUUUUGUUUUCUGAGACAGGGUUUCUCUGUGUAGCCCUGGCUGUCCUGGAACUCACUCUCUACAGGCUGGCUUCAAACUCAGAAAUCAAUCCACCUGCCUCUGCCUCCCAAGUGCUGGAAUUAAAGGCGUGCGCCACCACUGUCCGGCUUGAUUUCAUUCUUAAUGUUUUGAAAGGGUUUCACUUUGUAGUGCAGACUGGCCUCGAACUGUUAGUCACCUGGCUUCUGCUUCUCUAAUGCUGAGAUUACAGAACGUGCACCUCCAUGCCCACUGAUGGGUCAUCUUCUGAUUCAGGAGCCUGACACUGGGAGAGGUGCUGGGAUGUUACACUAGUCUUGAUGCAGGGGGAGACAAGUAGAGUAGUAAAAUUGAUGCUCUAGAUGGUUUACUAAUAAAUGCUCUUAGGAAAUACUAAGUGACAUAAAGUAGAAUUUAGCUAAAGGAAGGCUGUUUCUCUGAUGACUAGAGAUAGAAAGUGACUAAGCAGGCUGAUUAGAAAGUAUAUUUAAAAAUUUGUGCCAUGGGGCUGGAUCGAUGGCUCAGUGGUUAAGUGCACUGACUGCUCUUCUGAAGGUCCUGAGUUCAAAUCCCAGCAACCACAUGGUGGCUCACAACCACCUGUAAUGAGAUCUGACACCCUUUUCUGGUGUGUCUCAAGACAGCGUGUACUUGCAUAUAAUAAAUAAAUAAAUCUUUUAAAAAAAUUGUGCCAUGACUGAAGUUUAGGGUUGCUGAGAAAGUUUCUGCUAAUGUUUAUGCACCAUUGAUAAAUGGUGAUUGACCUCCAAUUAGGCUCCAUUCCCAUAACAACAAGAGGAUGCUGUCUUACAAGCAGAGCUCUGCAGGACAGCUCAAGAGGCACUGCAGGGUCACAACUAUCAUCAAGGCUGUCCUGAAGUCCUCUCUGCUCUUAUCAGGGAAGAUAAUUCUGACUGCGCAAGAUGGACUUGGGUAACCACUAUUUAAAAAGAACAACACUGGUGUGUUUAAUAAUCCUGGCAAUAUCUUUGCUAUGUAAGUUUCUCCUACCUGCCCAAGUGUGUAGAUUUACAGUCUCUUCUAUAAAUUGUUCAAAGUGCAACCUGGGACCUGAGAGAUUUAAGGACAACAGUGUAUAUGAAAUUAGUGUAUAGAACAGUAUAUAUGAAAAAAAAAAGAACAGUGUAUAUGAAGUUAGUGAAACCUAUUCUUGGCCAGCUCCUCUUUGAGCAUUAGUCAGAGCUAGAUGCAACAGAGUUGCUUUUUUCCUUUGUUUUCCUUCUUUUAGUGGACCAAGCAAUUCCUCUCUGAGAAGGCAAAUUACUCCUGCAAUAGUUCUCUGCUCCCCAGGAGCCAGAGAGGGAGACAGUUGUUCAAUAGUUGUUCAGUUACAAUGUGGGGAAGGUGAGAGGACUCUAGAAUACUCUGACCUGAGGGCCUUGGGGAUGGCUCCAUGAGAAAAUGAUAUUCACACAGACUCUUGAGAGAUGUGACAAUCAGAAAUGCCUUGAGCCCCUCCCAGGUUGUGUGUGUUUCCCACAGCAUGAAGCCCUAAGGAUUCCUUCCAUUUCUGGAGCACAUGGAAGCAAAGGGUUCCAAGAUACUCACAUGGACUCAAGGAUGGCCAGGGCCAGGCCUUAGAACCCACAAGGU
This 3039-nucleotide long non-coding RNA is filed under the name Mus musculus (house mouse). Its description in RNAcentral is "long non-coding RNA chr3:95716137-95719176". The record is from RNAcentral. Lineage: Eukaryota; Metazoa; Chordata; Mammalia; Rodentia; Muridae.